UCGGGAAUUUUGGGCAAUGGGCGAAAGCCUGACCCAGCAACGCCGCGUGAGGGAUGAAGUAUUUCGGUAUGUAAAACUCGAAAGAAGGGGAAGAAUAAAUGACGGUACCAUUUAUAAGCUCCGGCUAACUACGUGCCAGCAGCCGCGGUAAAACGUAGGAGGCAAGCGUUAUCCGGAGUUACUGGGCGCAAAGCGCGCGCAGGCGGUUCGUUAAGUGGGGCGUGAAAGCCCUGCGCUAAACGCGGGGAGGACGAACCAUACUGAUGGACUGGGGUGGAGCAGAGGGACAUGGAAUUCCGGGUGUAGCGGUGAAAUGUGCCGAUAUCCGGAGGAACACCAGAGGUGAAAACGGUGUCCUGGGCUCACACUGACGCUGAGGCGCGAAAGCGUGGG
RNAcentral lists this ribosomal RNA (393 nucleotides) under uncultured bacterium. RNAcentral's name for it is "bacterial SSU rRNA". It matches the Rfam family "Bacterial small subunit ribosomal RNA", at positions 355 to 765 of the family's 1533-position model. The record is from RNAcentral.